This 37-nucleotide non-coding RNA is filed under the name Schistosoma mattheei. Lineage: Eukaryota; Metazoa; Platyhelminthes; Trematoda; Strigeidida; Schistosomatidae. The record is from RNAcentral.
AGCUGAGGAGUUCCAAAUAGGACGAAACGUGCGUCCU